AGGUCCCCUGUGAUGGAGAAGCUGGCACCCUGGGUUUUCGCUGGGAUUUAGGGCGAUUGAGGAAAUGCGCAGGCGCUUAGACGGUUUCCAAUCCACCCCGCUGACCACGCAGGACGCAGCCCGGAUUCUCCGAAAACCACUCUGGCCCGUGACCCCCUGCUCUCCGGGGCAAGCUGACUCUUAACCCAGAGGCGGCAGUGUCUCCGGAUCCCCCAUCCUGGGCUGAGGUCGCCGGAGGCUAGGGUCUGAGAUCCCCCGGGAAAGAAGCUCGAUGGGCUGGUUCAUUAGGGACCCAGCUUGGCGGCAGAUGACGAAACCGGGAAGGGCUUCCGCCUUCAGAAAGCGCAUCCCGUAAAUGAGAUGGCCCAGCGGGAUGGCAAGGGCACACGUUCGGGGAGAUUUGAGACGCUCUUGCAGAUCAUUCCAGCUCCGGAGUGCAGUGGCGGAGCUGGGAGAAAUCGGUCAGACCCCAGCUUCGGAGGCGAUCCCUGGGUUUGGAUCACAC
Long non-coding RNA from Bos taurus (domestic cattle), 505 nucleotides. The record is from Ensembl. NCBI's taxonomy places the organism in Eukaryota, Metazoa, Chordata, Mammalia, Artiodactyla, Bovidae.